RNAcentral lists this unclassified non-coding RNA (283 nucleotides) under uncultured fungus. RNAcentral describes it as "partial contains 5.8S ribosomal RNA, internal transcribed spacer 2, and large subunit ribosomal RNA". Lineage: Eukaryota; Fungi. The record is from RNAcentral.
AACGCAUAUUGCACUCCUCGGUAUUCCUUGGAGUAUGUCUGUUUCAGUAUCAUAAAGUAAAAUCAAACCUUUAGGCUUUGCUUAAGGCUUGGAAGUGGGCUUCGUAGGUGAUUUUCUUCUACUAGCCUGAAAUUCAUUCGUGGCCGCAUCUUGUCAAAGAUAGAGGCGUCAUAGUUGACUUUUCGUCAUCUUUCGCUGAUUACUUUGAAAGUGCAUUAAACUACGUUAAAAUUUUUUUCAUCUACUUGAUCUGAAAUCAGAUAAGACUACCCGCUGAACUUAA